This 203-nucleotide small nucleolar RNA is filed under the name Capra hircus (goat). RNAcentral's name for it is "Small nucleolar RNA U3 (ENSCHIG00000000677.1)". It matches the Rfam family "Small nucleolar RNA U3". Rfam says of the family: Small nucleolar RNAs (snoRNAs) are involved in the processing and modification of rRNA in the nucleolus. There are two main classes of snoRNAs: the box C/D class, and the box H/ACA class. Lineage: Eukaryota; Metazoa; Chordata; Mammalia; Artiodactyla; Bovidae. The record is from Rfam by way of RNAcentral.
GAGACUCUGCUUUCAGGCAUCACGUCUGUAAUUGGCUACUGGAGAAGCUUCUCUGGCCGUGUAGGCCACGAGGGGGAGAUGCAGCGUUCCCCCCGAGCGUGGAGCGGCCCUUGGCGUUGCCGCUCCAGCGGCCACUAGCCUUUGACGAUCAUUUCUUCCCUUCCUUUGGGAGGGUAAGAGGGAGGGACUGCUGUCUGAGUGGG